UGUGGAAAAAAUAAUGUGUUCCAACUUAAGUCAUUUGUAAAUACUUUCAGGGAUGUAAUAGAGCGUUGUGUGUUCUUGACUUUAAUGCAAAAGUCUAUUAUGCCCUAUUUACAGUGUUCAUCUAUCUAUCUAUCUACCUAUCUAUCUAUCUAUCUAUUUUUUCAAUGUUCUCAAUGUCCUAUUUACAGUGUUCAUGAGAGACAGUGCUGGAAAGGAUUGAUAUCUAAGUUUACUGUGCUAGAUCAGUAGUUAAAAACUGAGAAGCAGUAAUAUGUUGUCAAUAAAUAUUCAUGUCAUAUAACUAAAUUCCCUAUUCAUAGUCUAUGCUCUCCAAGAAGCUUUUGAUAGCCUGGUUUUCAUGCUGCCUUCCUGUAGUGAUAAAAAGUUCUCAUUAGGUACAUUACUUCUAGGCUGUUUGAAAAUAUAUGAGAGCAAAUAGAAACAGCAAUUAAAAAAUAUGUAAGACUGUUAG
Molecule: long non-coding RNA, 472 nt
Filed under: Pan troglodytes (chimpanzee)
Lineage: Eukaryota; Metazoa; Chordata; Mammalia; Primates; Hominidae
Description: long non-coding RNA NONPTRT011995
Source: RNAcentral